Molecule: ribosomal RNA, 435 nt
Filed under: Triticum aestivum (bread wheat)
Lineage: Eukaryota; Viridiplantae; Streptophyta; Magnoliopsida; Poales; Poaceae
Description: partial small subunit ribosomal RNA
Source: RNAcentral
AUGUCUAAGGAUUGCACCGUGGUUCAUUACUGUCACAUUUGUAACAACUACACGCAUCCUCUGCACCGCUGCUCUUUUCUCAAGCAACCAAGGCCAACCGCCUCCCUCGGUGGUUGCGGUUUAGUUAAUGCAAUGUUUCUACAGCUUCCGGACUCACUCUUCAAGGAAAAUCUCGCCCCACCUACUUUGUCGACUGCUUUGGUUACGGUUUCGGGUGAUUCCUUGUCUUCUUCUGUGGUGGAGGCCGAGGUUGCAAAGAUCGAUGCGGUCCAAACUUCGUGGAAGUGGGAAGCUAUGCCUCAUGGAGCAAAUGCUUUCUUGGUUUCUUUCCCUUCAGUGGAGAUUUUGCAGUGCGUGGCAGCGUUUGAGUAUAAUGUUAAAUCACAUGACGUGAAGAUCACUUUUAGUGAAUGGAAAACUGAGGAGGUUCCGUAG